UACGUAGGGUGCAGGCGUUAAUCGGAAUUACUGGGCGUAAAGCGUGCGCAGGCGGUUUCUUAAGUCAGAUGUGAAAGCCCCGGGCUUAACCUGGGAACUGCGCUUCUAACUGGCAGGCUUGAGUGUGGCAGAGGGGGGUGGAAUUCCACGUGUAGCAGUGAAAUGCGUAGAGAUGUGGAGGAACACCGAUGGCGAAGGCGGCUUUCUGGACUGUAACUGACGCUGAGGCAUGAAAGCGUGGGGAGCAAACAGG
Molecule: ribosomal RNA, 253 nt
Filed under: uncultured bacterium
Lineage: Bacteria
Description: partial 16S ribosomal RNA
Rfam family: Bacterial small subunit ribosomal RNA
Source: RNAcentral